UCCAACUAUACUUCAAACGUCAAAGGGUUAUAUAUUUAUUUGGUAAUUUAUAAUCUAUUUUCCAACUUUCUUUCUUCUCCUUCUCGUCUUAAUUAUUUCAUCCAAUCUCUGCUUUCUGCAAUCCUCAAUUUCUCCUCCGAUUUCUCAUUCGAUUCACGUUCGUCCCGUUGAUCAAAGCAAAAUCAAAGACGUAUAUUAUGACACCAUCAGAGAAUUCUAGUGCCACAAAGGUGUUCAACUAUUUGAUUAGGAUCCCACGCGUUGAUAUUAAAAUCCUCGAAGAAUCGAUCGGACCCGUGAAGCUAGAACUCGACGAAAAGACAAAAGCCAGAGAUGCUAUUCGGUUACAACUCGAAGAUAAAAUAGCCGGCAGUAAGAUUCACGAUCUAUAUUACGAAUAUGUCAAGGGCAAGGAAAUAAGUGCAAGAAAUACGGUGAAGUCAAAGCUCGCCGAAAUAAAAUCUGUUCGGUCCGUGAUUAACAAAGCCGAGAAAGUAUUAUCCAUCGAUCGUAUCAAUGCUCGUGUAUGUAACGUGGAAAGAUAUAUAGUAGAACACGAGUCUCUGCCGUUGGAGGAAUUACGAAAGCGCGUGCGUGGAAUGAAUCGGCUGAACCAACGUCGCGUAAGAUUAGAAAAUAGCGUUGGUCGAUUAUGUUAUUGCGCUGAU
This is a non-coding RNA of Erythranthe guttata (spotted monkey flower), 668 nucleotides long. The record is from RefSeq and is a predicted model, not a curated record. Lineage: Eukaryota; Viridiplantae; Streptophyta; Magnoliopsida; Lamiales; Phrymaceae.